GCUGGGGGUAAAUCUCAAUGGUGGAGUGCUUGCCUAGCAUGCACAAGGUCCUGAGUUCAAUUCCCAGUGCAGCA
Molecule: transfer RNA, 74 nt
Filed under: Marmota monax (woodchuck)
Lineage: Eukaryota; Metazoa; Chordata; Mammalia; Rodentia; Sciuridae
Description: tRNA.Ala
Source: RNAcentral